RNAcentral lists this ribosomal RNA (676 nucleotides) under Flammulaster pulveraceus. RNAcentral's name for it is "eukaryotic LSU rRNA". The stretch from base 288 to 441 matches the Rfam family "5.8S ribosomal RNA". The record is from RNAcentral. Lineage: Eukaryota; Fungi; Basidiomycota; Agaricomycetes; Agaricales; Tubariaceae.
UAGAGGAAGUAAAAGUCGUAACAAGGUUUCCGUAGGUGAACCUGCGGAAGGAUCAUUAUUGAAUAAACCUGAUGGGUUGUAGCUGGUUCCUUCGGGGACAUGUGCUCGCUUGUCAUCUUUAUAUCUCCACCUGUGCACAUCUUGUAGACCUGGAUCACUUUCUGAGGCAACUCAGUUCGGAGGAUUGCUUUAAUUAGCUUUCCUUAAAUUUCCAGGCCUAUGUUUUUCAUAUACCCCAUUGUAUGUAACAGAAUGUUCAUUGGGCCUUGUGCCUAUAAACUAUAUACAACUUUCAGCAACGGAUCUCUUGGCUCUCGCAUCGAUGAAGAACGCAGCGAAAUGCGAUAAGUAAUGUGAAUUGCAGAAUUCAGUGAAUCAUCGAAUCUUUGAACGCACCUUGCGCUCCUUGGUAUUCCGAGGAGCAUGCCUGUUUGAGUGUCAUUAAAUUCUCAACCUUAAAAGCUUUUGCUGCCAAGGCUUGGAUAUGGAGGUUUUGCAGGCUUUUUGUCUGCUCCUCUGAAAUAUAUUAGUAGUACCCAGUGGUGGAACUCGGUGUGAUAAUUAUCUACGCCGUGGACUCUACUUGUUAAUACUGCUUCUAACCGUCCCUUUGCUGGACAAUUUUAUGACAAUUUGACCUCAAAUCAGGUAGGACUACCCGCUGAACUUAAGCAUA